CCAAAUACAAUAACAUAGGUCCAGAUACAUGUCUCAAAAAUAAUAACAUAGGUCUAGAUACAAUUUCACAAUCACAAUAGCAUAGGUAGCAUUUAAGUUUUGUGAUCAAUUGGUUUUUAGUCUCCUUGGCUUUAGUUUCUUUGGUGGGCUCCUUUUUUGCACAGUCUUCUUUGGUGAGGCAACAAGGAUGGGAUCAACACCUUCACCUAGCAGGGUUUGGAGCCGGCUGCAAUAAAAGGAUGAAAUAUGUCAUUUGUAGCUCUUGUGUACAAGUAUAAAAAGAAUGAGAAUUAGUAUGUUGCAUACCCUCUUGUCACCCUAACGGGGCUGUUUUGUAUAAUCUGUUCCCUUGUGAGCCUUGUCGGGCUGGAGAGUGCAUUUGGGGCUGGUGCAGCCAAUUCUUCUUCAUUGCAUACAUUUGGGGAUGGUGGUGCCAUUUCUUGGUCAUUGAAAGCAGCUGUUGAUUCAGCAGUAGCAUUAUCCUGAGAUUUCUCUCCCUUCCUUGCUCUCUUUGUUGGGAUUUUUGCAUUCUCAC
RNAcentral lists this long non-coding RNA (535 nucleotides) under Sorghum bicolor (sorghum). RNAcentral's name for it is "long non-coding RNA (SBIC_LNC003222)". The record is from RNAcentral. Lineage: Eukaryota; Viridiplantae; Streptophyta; Magnoliopsida; Poales; Poaceae.